This 376-nucleotide ribosomal RNA is filed under the name uncultured bacterium. Its description in RNAcentral is "bacterial SSU rRNA". It matches the Rfam family "Bacterial small subunit ribosomal RNA", at positions 524 to 898 of the family's 1533-position model. The record is from RNAcentral.
GACGGAGGGUGCAAGCGUUGUUCGGAAUUACUGGGCGUAAAGCGUACGUAGGCGGCGGAUUAAGUCGAAUGUUAAAGCCUGGGGCUCAACCCCAGAGAUGCACUCGAUACUGGUUUGCUAGAGGGUGAUAGAGGAAAGUGGAAUUCCGAGUGUAGCGGUGAAAUGCGUAGAUAUUCGGAGGAACAUCAGUAGCGAAGGCGACUUUCUGGGUCACACCUGACGCUGAGGUACGAAAGCGUGGGGAGCAAACGGGAUUAGAUACCCCGGUAGUCCACGCCGUAAACGAUGGAUGCUAGGUGUAGCGGGUAUCGACCCCUGCUGUGCCGUAGCUAACGCGUUAAGCAUCCCGCCUGGGGAGUACGCACGCAAGUGUGAA